GUUACCCAGACUCACCUCCUCAUGACCACAGGAAAAAUCCAGAUCCCAUGAGCUGUUGAGCUCCUGCUGCAAGGUUGCAAUGAUCCUGCCUGCAUCGUUUUCCUUCCAGCUCCCCUUCACGCUGCAGAGACUUAUGUGGUUCCUAUACUGCCAACAAAAUAGAGUAUAUCUGCUUCUUCUUUGAGUGCUCAAGGCCAUGCACACUGAAAACUGACUUCAUCUGCCAACUCCUGAAGAAGGGGCACAUGUCAAGUUACUUACAGCAGCUGGAGGAGGAGAGUUCCACAGAAUAAAUAAGGAAAGAAACCAAGGCUAUCCUUGAUGUGCAACAUAAAAGUAUUGGAAAUUGUGAUGAAGAUUUUGCCAAUACUGAUGAAAGGCAAUAAACCAUAGAUUCAUGAAGCUCAGAAAAUGCCACACUACUGGCAUAUCAGAUUCAAUAACUGAAAACAUAACAAAAAAGAAAAAUCUUGGAACAGAGAGAGAACAAAAAAAAAAA
RNAcentral lists this long non-coding RNA (499 nucleotides) under Chinchilla lanigera (long-tailed chinchilla). Its description in RNAcentral is "lncRNA (ENSCLAG00000023397.1)". The record is from RNAcentral. Lineage: Eukaryota; Metazoa; Chordata; Mammalia; Rodentia; Chinchillidae.